GCACUUACUAUGACAGCGCAAAUACUAAAAGUGGGACGAAUCAGGGAAGAUUAGCAUGCUCUCAAGCAAGGAUGACACAGAAAUUCAUGAAACAGUGGAUUCAUAU
Molecule: small nuclear RNA, 106 nt
Organism: Grammomys surdaster
Lineage: Eukaryota; Metazoa; Chordata; Mammalia; Rodentia; Muridae
Source: RefSeq, a predicted model, not a curated record